RNAcentral lists this ribosomal RNA (399 nucleotides) under uncultured bacterium. Its description in RNAcentral is "bacterial SSU rRNA". It matches the Rfam family "Bacterial small subunit ribosomal RNA", at positions 358 to 773 of the family's 1533-position model. The record is from RNAcentral.
GGAAUCUUGCACAAUGGGCGAAAGCCUGAUGCAGCGACGCCGCGUGGGUGAGGAAGUUCUUCGGAAUGUAAAGCCCUUUUACCGGGGACGAUUAAUGACGGUACCCGGUGAAUAAGCCCCGGCUAACUACGUGCCAGCAGCCGCGGUAAUACGUAGGGGGCGAGCGUUGUCCGGAUUUACUGGGCGUAAAGAGCGCGUAGGCGGAAGCUUAAGUGUGGCCUGAAAGCCCCCGGCUCAACCGGGGAGGGUGGCUGCAAACUGGGCUUCUAGAGGGGGAUAGAGGAAAGUGGAAUUCCGGGUGUAGCGGUGAAAUGCGUAGAGAUCCGGAGGAACACCAGUGGCGAAGGCGGCUUUCUGGGUCCGCCCUGACGCUGAGGCGCGAAAGCGUGGGGAGCGAAC